RNAcentral lists this long non-coding RNA (2559 nucleotides) under Daucus carota (carrot). Its description in RNAcentral is "long non-coding RNA (DCAR_LNC005654)". Lineage: Eukaryota; Viridiplantae; Streptophyta; Magnoliopsida; Apiales; Apiaceae. The record is from RNAcentral.
AAGAAAGUCAUAACCUCUCCUGUAAGUAUUCUCUAACCCUAAUUCUAAUCUAAUAUUGUACAAUGAUAAAACUAAUCCUCCCUCUCCAAUAAUAAAAAGUCUUUUCAAUAUUUAAAACUAAUAUACAAAUAGAAAUCCAAAACAAGAUAGGAUUUUCUCUCAAAAUUCGUAACUGACUUUGCUGCUCUGUUUUCGGGCCUUUUCAGUUGGACUUUGCUUCUUGGACCACUUCUGAAUUAAAGGAAAUUUCAAGAGCUUCGUGUGGGCUGUAAGAUCGUCCAAUUCUGACAUCCGGAACUCAAGAUAUGGCCCGAACAGUGCAGAAUUCGGGUAGAACCCAAUAAAUCCGAAUUUUAAUAGAAUUUAGCUACAAAAUAGCUAUUUUAGCUUCAAAUCCUUCUCAACUUGGAAUUCUUUAUUCCCUACAAUAAAACAUGAAAAUAUAUUAAAUAAAUAUUCAAAUCAGUGCAAAAUAUAAUUAAAUAUAAGAAUAAAAUCAUAUAAAAUAUAUAUAAAAAUAUAUUCUAUCAGGUUCUGUUCCGGCAAACCUUUGAGUGGUCGACUUAACUUUGGUGCCUCGAGAUUAAUGUUAUUAUGUUUAAAUAAAUGGAGGGAAUGAAUUUGAAAGCCGGAAUAAAAAUUUUAAAUACAGUAACAAUUCAAAAGUUUCAUUAAUCAUUUAGAAUAACAAUAAUUCUGGGCAAGAGUCGCUUAUCUCCGAGCCUCCAAUCGAGUAAACCAUUUUCCGAUCUCUUCACCGGCGAUUUUAUCUUUCCGACGCAACUUUCAGAUAUCGGUAAGCCUCUCGCCGAAUCAUUCUCUAAUUAUCUCGCAUCCGCUCAUUCACAAUUCAUCCAUUACACAAAUCUCUCGUUGUUAUUUUGUUGAAACAUAAAGUAUUAUAAUUUUCAAUUGAAUCUAACCAAAAUGAUCAUCGGGAAGUUAUAUUAAACAGACGUCUCUGUAUAUGUAGUUGGCCUUGUAGCAAAGACUUGUGUUAUUUGUUAAGUGAUUGUAUGAGGAUAGUUUGUUGAAUUAGAAGAUGCUAAAGUUCGUGUCUUAUCGUUUUUGGAUCUCUCUUUCUCGUGGGUUAUUGGCAGUGUGUUUUAUGUAUGUAAAUCGUGCUUUAGGUUAUUUCUUUGGAGUUGGUACUUGAUUGCUUUUUUGUGGUUUUUCUUAAAUUUGUGAUGUUUUAUACUUUAUAUGAAACUAGCUUGUUCUUUUUUUGUCUAAGACAUUCACAACUUGUAUCUUUUUCUUCUUCAUCAUCUAUUAAGUUUUAGUUUAAGUGUAGGUAUUCUUGAAUUAAUCUAAUCCAUCGAAUUGAGUAUGAUUGUAUGUGUGAUAGCAUUUUUUUACUUCUAUUUUUCUACUUUCUGCUUUGGACUGAUAAAAUGUAUCUGUUAGACUAUUUUGUGCAACCAGUCCACCUCUAUUAGAUUCCAUGAUUAUAAUAGUAAUGCCCCGUUACUACUAAUCUACAUAUGCUAAGCAGUACUUGAAAAUAAGAACGGUAAUGUUAAGUAGUUUUAGCUUCCUGAUUAAUUUUCCUUUUCAUUAAACAAAUAAGAAUGGACGAUCUUCAAACAUGAUUUUAAUUGAUUCCAAUAAUUAAGCUUGAUUAGUUUGUAUUAAUAUGUGAAAAUUGUAACCGAACAUGGGCUGUUAAUUUUACGUUCAAAUUUGGUAAUUUCAUUUUCAAAUUUUGUAACUCUCUUUUUAUGACAAUAAUGUGAGUCUUAAUGACCUUUUAUUGUGAACGUUAUUUAUGUUAAUCAUUAAUGUAAUUAAAUUGACAAUUCGUUUUUUUAGUCUAUAUUAGAUUAUAUAAUAUUCGGUACCAUUUAUGGGGGGUCAUUAUUGAUGACUUUAUUGUGCCGUUAAUGGCUUUCAGUGCCAUUUUUAUGGCUUGUAUUACCAUUUUGAUGGUCAUAGUAUAUAAUAUACUUAAUUGUUUUUUAAACUCUAUUUUAUACCUCAGUUAAAUUAUUAAAUUUUUAUGUGUCUAACCAAAGGAUUUUCCUUUGGUUAGAGAUUAAUUAAUAUUUCUACUUUAUUUUAUUUCUCUCUAUUUUGAUAUAUAUAUAUAUAUAUAUAUAUAUUCUUUCGUUUUUUUCUUUUUUUCUUUUUAUUAGAUUUACUAUCUUUUUUUCAUUAAUUAAAUAUAUAUAUAUAUAUAUAUAUAUAUAUAUAUAAUUUUUCUUGUAUAUUGAUAUAUGUUUUGUUUGGUUUGUUUCCUUUUUCAGUAUACUUUGGAGCUAGGUGUUUGUGACUUCUUUCAUCCUUCAUGGGUAUUCUUUUCUAAUUCAUUUAAGCUUUAUUGUCUAAGCGUCCGGAGUUGUGCUUGCAUGACUUUCGGUUAGAUGAUAAACUUUUUUGAAAGAAAGAUAUCCCAGAUGCGGUUUAUUGUAUUUCGAUACAAUUCAUCUACUUGUAUGUAGACCUUAAAAAAAAAAAGUUUCAUUAAUCAUUUCCUCAAUCCAUUACUUUUACGCCUGUCUGGAAAAAUCUUUUUCUUGCCUAAUUGUUUAAACAUAUCUUAAUCAUAUUAAGUUGCAC